RNAcentral lists this long non-coding RNA (813 nucleotides) under Nicotiana benthamiana. RNAcentral's name for it is "long non-coding RNA (NBEN_LNC036065)". The record is from RNAcentral. Lineage: Eukaryota; Viridiplantae; Streptophyta; Magnoliopsida; Solanales; Solanaceae.
GGAGUUGGAUCUGCUGGCUUGAAGUCUUUCAGAGCACUUGAAGUCGUUGGUGCUGGAGUUCUGGGCUCCUUAGUUUUGCAACAAUUGCUUAUUCUGAUGAGGCGGAGCAUGGACUAGAGUGUCCCAGCUAUCCCUGGCCUCACGAAGGCAUUCUCAGUUCUUAUGACCAUGCUUCGUAAGUACUUAAGUGUUACUACAUGAUUGCUAAAGCUUCUUAGUUUAUAUUCCCUUUUUAUUGGUAAAGAUGUGGCCUCACGAAGGCAUUCUCAGUUUUUAUGACCAUGCUUCGUAAGUACUUAAGUGUUACUACAUGAUUGCUAAAGCUUCUUAGUUUAUAUUCCCUUUUUAUUGGUAAAGAUCUGGGUCAUUAAAUUUUUCACGUAGUUGUUAUAUGCCGAAUGAAAAUAUUUGCCCACAGAAAAAAGGUGAUUUAGCCUUUUUCUUACAGCAUUUUCCCGUGUAUCAGAAUUGGUGUAGGUGUAGUUGGUGUUCUUGCUCUGUAGCCUUGUUUUUUAAGUCUCUUACCUUAGAGAAUAUAUAUCAAUUUUCUGCUUUUCCAGAGCUAAUUUGUACACGAAGUUUCAAAUGAUGUGGAAAUCCAAUUAGUUUGUGUGCCUCUAUUUUUGAUACAGUAUCCGUCAUGUUUACCAGCAAGUGUGCUCAUCUUGCCACUCAAUGUCUCUAAUUUCUUAUCGUGAUCUUGUUGGUGUCGCAUACACCGAGGAAGAGACCAAGGCUAUGGCAGCAGAAAUUGAGGUGGUUGAUGGGCCUAAUGACGAAGGUGAGAUGUUUACCCGCCCUGGGAAGCUGAGU